GUAAUUUUUCUUCAAGCACAGCACAUGUAUAACUACCUGGUUAUGUAUGUGCAUGCAAAUUAUAGUGUUUAUAAAUUGUGAGUUUAGAUUUGACUGUAUUUUCACACAACAGUCAGCUGUUGUUUUAUAUGUAUUUGUUAUGUUUUCAUGGUUAUUACUUGUACUAUGUAUUAUUCGUCUCUUUUUGUUGUUGUCCACUCAUAUCCCCCCACAAGUUUAACGUUAUCCAAGACAUAACGUUACAAUCUAUAAUCUGACAUAAAUGACAAUUACCUUCAAUUGAUAAAAUAGCAUCCGAUUUUACUGUAGUCAUAUUUGGCAAAAUGCAUUUGCAUAUCAAUCGAAUAUUCACAACAGAAAAAGAUAACGGCAUAUCAAUAAUCCUUUCAAAACAAAUAUUUUGGAAACAUUUCCUUGAAUAAAAAGCAC
RNAcentral lists this long non-coding RNA (429 nucleotides) under Mytilus galloprovincialis (Mediterranean mussel). The record is from RNAcentral. Lineage: Eukaryota; Metazoa; Mollusca; Bivalvia; Mytilida; Mytilidae.